CCUACGGGAGACAGCAGUCGAGAAUCAUUCACAAUGGGGGAAACCCUGAUGGUGCGACGCCGCGUGGGGGAAUGAAGGUCUUCGUAUUGUAAACCCCUGUCGUGUGGGAGCAAGUUAAAAAGAUAGUACCACAAGAGGAAGCGACGGCUAACUCUGUGCCAGCAGCCGCGGUAAUACAGAGGUCUCAAGCGUUGUUCGGAAUCACUGGGCGUAAAGGGGGCGUAGGCGGUUUCGUAAGUCGUGUGUGAAAGGCGCGGGCCCAACCCGCGGACGUCACAAGAAAGUGGGAGACUAGAGUAAUGGAGGGGGAACCGGAAUUCCCGGUGUAGCAGUGAAAUGCGUAGAUAUCGAGAGGAACACUCGUGGCGAAGGCGGGUUCCUGGACAUUAACUGACGCUGAGGCACGAAGGCCAGGGGAGCGAAAGGGAUUAGAUACCCUGGUAGUC
This 446-nucleotide ribosomal RNA is filed under the name uncultured bacterium. RNAcentral's name for it is "partial 16S ribosomal RNA". It matches the Rfam family "Bacterial small subunit ribosomal RNA", at positions 338 to 795 of the family's 1533-position model. The record is from RNAcentral.